Molecule: small nuclear RNA, 270 nt
Filed under: Jaculus jaculus (lesser Egyptian jerboa)
Lineage: Eukaryota; Metazoa; Chordata; Mammalia; Rodentia; Dipodidae
Description: 7SK RNA (ENSJJAG00000009290.1)
Rfam family: 7SK RNA
About the family: 7SK was discovered as an abundant small nuclear RNA in the mid-70s but a possible function has only recently been suggested.
Source: Rfam by way of RNAcentral
UGAUAUGAGGGUGAUCUGGCUGUGACAUCUGUCACCACAUUGAUCUCCAGGGUUGAUUUGGCUAAUAUGGGCCACUAGGUAGGUGUCCCCUUCCUCCCUCACUUCUCCAUGUGUGUCCCUCCUGAAGCUGUGUGCUUCGUUGAAGAGGACGGCCUUUCCAGAAUAGAGGACCACUCCUUGGCCAAGGGUGUAUGAGUAGCAGCAUUCCCCAGACCAAUUCUCAAAGAAAUACACAGAUGAGGUCAUGAAUAGCCAGGCCAUUUUGUGUCU